RNAcentral lists this ribosomal RNA (519 nucleotides) under Lysinibacillus sp. Its description in RNAcentral is "bacterial SSU rRNA". It matches the Rfam family "Bacterial small subunit ribosomal RNA", at positions 123 to 628 of the family's 1533-position model. The record is from RNAcentral. Lineage: Bacteria; Bacillati; Bacillota; Bacilli; Caryophanales; Bacillaceae.
AACCUACCCUAUAGUUUGGGAUAACUCCGGGAACCGGGACUAAUACCGAAUAAUCUAUUGUCCCUCAUGGGACAAUACUGAAAGACGGUUUCGGCUGUCGCUAUAGGAUGGGCCCGCGGCGCAUUAGCUAGUUGGUGAGGUAACGGCUCACCAAGGCAACGAUGCGUAGCCGACCUGAGAGGGUGAUCGGCCACACUGGGACUGAGACACGGCCCAGACUCCUACCGGGAGGCAGCAGUAGGGAAUCUUCCACAAUGGGCGAAAGCCUGAUGGAGCAACGCCGCGUGAGUGAAGAAGGAUUUCGGUUCGUAAAACUCUGUUGUAAAGGAAGAACAAGUACAGUAGUAACUGGCUGUACCUUGACGGUACCUUAUUAGAAAGCCACGGCUAACUACGUGUCAGCAGCCGCGGUAAUACGUAGGUGGCAAGCGUUGUCCGGAAUUAUUGGGCGUAAAGCGCGCGCAGGUGGUUUCUUAAGUCUGAUGUGAAAGCCCACGGCUCAACCGUGGAGGGUCAUUG